This 469-nucleotide small RNA is filed under the name Arabidopsis thaliana (thale cress). Its description in RNAcentral is "putative long intergenic non-coding RNA". The record is from RNAcentral. Lineage: Eukaryota; Viridiplantae; Streptophyta; Magnoliopsida; Brassicales; Brassicaceae.
UCAUAAUUAUUUUUGGACAUAUGCAAAAAUAAAAAGAUCUACAUAAAGAAGAGGGUAUUCGUCUGAAUCAGAUGAAGAUUAAUAACCUUGAAGUGUUUGAUGAGGCAUGUGAUUUUUGCUUGCACAUCCACACACAACUCUCCAUUAACCACAAUACUCACCGUUAUUUCUGAAAUUUAUGGUGUAGUUGUACUUGCGGAACAAUAUGAAAGUGAAGGUGAGAUCAGAGUUUAUACAGUUGUGGAAACAACUUCUUUGAUGGUUGUAGAUCCCGCAAUCGUAGAAACAACCUUAAUGAUGAUUGUAGUUUCGAUGAUAAAUAUUGGUCCAUUUUCUUAGCAAACAAUCUCCUCUUCUAUACUUGUCAAACAUUCAUAUUCUUUGGUCAUGCAAUUUUGUUUAAUAUUUGAUGAUGUUUGAAUAGCGGUUGUACAAAUGUAUUUACUUUCUAAUUUUUAUUUUAAGCAUG